GUCACUCCCCUAAGAGCUCACAUCGAGUGGAAGGUUUGGCACCUUGAUGUCAACUCUUCACCACCUGGAGCUGUAGUAUGUUCCAAGGGUUGGGUUGUUUGUCCAUUAAAACUGUACGUGAGCUAGGGUGACAUUAAGCUCUUAAGUG
This is a ribosomal RNA of Lupinus angustifolius (narrow-leaved blue lupine), 148 nucleotides long. It matches the Rfam family "Bacterial large subunit ribosomal RNA", at positions 2481 to 2632 of the family's 2925-position model. The record is from Rfam. NCBI's taxonomy places the organism in Eukaryota, Viridiplantae, Streptophyta, Magnoliopsida, Fabales, Fabaceae.